RNAcentral lists this ribosomal RNA (260 nucleotides) under uncultured bacterium. RNAcentral's name for it is "partial 16S ribosomal RNA". It matches the Rfam family "Bacterial small subunit ribosomal RNA", at positions 96 to 353 of the family's 1533-position model. The record is from RNAcentral.
CGGCGGACGGGUGAGUAACGCGUGGGUAACCUGCCUCAUACAGGGGGAUAACAAGUUGGAAACGGCUGCUAAUACCGCAUAAGCGCACAGUACCGCAUGGUACCGUGUGAAAAACUCCGGUGGUAUGAGAUGGACCCGCGUCUGAUUAGCUAGUUGGUGGGGUAACGGCCUACCAAGGCGACGAUCAGUAGCCGACCUGAGAGGGUGACCGGCCACAUUGGGACUGAGACACGGCCCAAACUCCUACGGGAGGCAGCAUG